UUGGAGGGCAAGUCUGGUGCCAGCAGCCGCGGUAAUUCCAGCUCCAAUAGCGUAUAUUAAAGUUGUUGCAGUUAAAAAGCUCGUAGUUGAAUUUUGGGUCUGGCCGGGCGGUCCGCCCUCCGGGUGAGUACUGUUCCGACGUCGGGCCUAUCCUUCUGGUGAGUCGGCAUGUCCUUUAUUGGGUGUGUCGGGGAACCAGGACCAUUACCUUGAAAAAAUUAGAGUGUUCAAAGCAGGCGUAUGCUCGGAUACAUUAGCAUGGAAUAAUGAAAUAGGACGCGUGGUGCUAUUUUGUUGGUUUCUAGAACCGCCGUAAUGAUUAAUAGGGAUAGUUGGGGGCAUUAGUAUUCAAUUGUCAGAGGUGAAAUUCUUGGAUUUAUUGAAGACUAACUUCUGCGAAAGCAUUUGCCAAGGAUGUUUUCAUUAAUCAAGAACGAAAGUUAGGGGAUCGAAGACGAUCAGAUACCGUCGUAGUCUUAACCAUAAACUAUGCCGACUAGGGAUCGGAUGAUGUUAAUUUUUUAAUGACUCAUUCGGCGCCUUACGGGAAAC
Molecule: ribosomal RNA, 552 nt
Filed under: uncultured Ambispora
Lineage: Eukaryota; Fungi; Glomeromycota; Glomeromycetes; Archaeosporales; Ambisporaceae
Description: SSU rRNA
Rfam family: Eukaryotic small subunit ribosomal RNA
Source: RNAcentral